AAAAAAAAAAAAAAAAAAAAAAAAAAAAAAAAAAAAAAAGGCCACCGUGGAGUUUUAGUCGGUAAGAGUCCGACACUACCCGCCUAGCGGGUGUCCAUGAGGAUUUCUCCACGAAAAAAAAAAAAAAAAAAAAAAAAAAAAGG
Molecule: long non-coding RNA, 143 nt
Organism: Bombus huntii
Lineage: Eukaryota; Metazoa; Arthropoda; Insecta; Hymenoptera; Apidae
Exons: 2
Source: RefSeq, a predicted model, not a curated record